RNAcentral lists this non-coding RNA (46 nucleotides) under Trichobilharzia regenti. The record is from RNAcentral. Lineage: Eukaryota; Metazoa; Platyhelminthes; Trematoda; Strigeidida; Schistosomatidae.
GUACUGCUGAAUAGUCCCAAACUAGGAUGAAACAGCUGUCCAGUAC